This 465-nucleotide ribosomal RNA is filed under the name uncultured bacterium. RNAcentral describes it as "partial 16S ribosomal RNA". It matches the Rfam family "Bacterial small subunit ribosomal RNA", at positions 338 to 795 of the family's 1533-position model. The record is from RNAcentral.
CCUACGGGAGGCAGCAGUAGGGAAUCUUCCACAAUGGGCGAAAGCCUGAUGGAGCAACGCCGCGUGGGUGAAGAAGGUCUUCGGAUCGUAAAACACUGUUGUUAGAGAAGAAAGUGCGUGAGAGUAACUGUUCACGUUUCGACGGUAUCUAACCAGAAAGCCACGGCUAACUCCGUGCCAGCAGCCGCGGUAAUACGUAGGUGGCAAGCGUUAUCCGGAUUUAUUGGGCGUAAAGGGAACGCAGGCGGUCUUUUAAGUCUGAUGGGAAAGCCUUCGGCUUAACCGGAGUAGUGCAUUGGAAACUGGGAGACUUGAGUGCAGAAGAGGAGAGUGGAACUCCAUGUGUAGCGGUGAAAUGCGUAGAUAUAUGGAAGAACACCAGUGGCGAAAGCGGCUCUCUGGUCUGUAACUGACGCUGAGGUUCGAAAGCGUGGGUAGCAAACAGGAUUAGAUACCCGGGUAGUC